GACGAACGCUGGCGGCGUGCUUAACACAUGCAAGUCGAACGAAGAGCGAUGGAAGCUUGCUUCUAUCAAUCUUAGUGGCGAACGGGUGAGUAACGCGUAAUCAACCUGCCCUUCAGAGGGGGACAACAGUUGGAAACGACUGCUAAUACCGCAUACGAUCUAACCUUGGCAUCGAGGAUGGAUGAAAGGUGGCCUCUAUUUAUAAGCUAUCACUGAAGGAGGGGAUUGCGUCUGAUUAGCUAGUUGGAGGGGUAACGGCCCACCAAGGCGAUGAUCAGUAGCCGGUCUGAGAGGAUGAACGGCCACAUUGGGACUGAGACACGGCCCAGACUCCUACGGGAGGCAGCAGUGGGGAAUCUUCCGCAAUGGACGAAAGUCUGACGGAGCAACGCCGCGUGAGUGAUGACGGCCUUCGGGUUGUAAAGCUCUGUUAAUCGGGACGAAAGGCCUUCUUGCGAAUAGUAGAAGGAUUGACGGUACCGGA
Molecule: ribosomal RNA, 484 nt
Filed under: Veillonella dispar
Lineage: Bacteria; Bacillati; Bacillota; Negativicutes; Veillonellales; Veillonellaceae
Description: bacterial SSU rRNA
Rfam family: Bacterial small subunit ribosomal RNA
Source: RNAcentral